RNAcentral lists this non-coding RNA (97 nucleotides) under unclassified sequences. Its description in RNAcentral is "GP20-a RNA". It matches the Rfam family "GP20-a RNA". From Rfam's summary of the family: gut metagenomes. The record is from RNAcentral.
AUUCCUCGUUGUUGAGCGAGGUUUAAACAAAUCGACCACACAAACGUAGAGCCGACUACGGAUUUAUAAAUUAAGGCAUUAAGUGUGAUAAGGAGAC